UUCUAGUCUUACUUCUGACCUCCAAUCCCUGGGAGAGGGGCUGGAGAUUGAGUUCAAUCACUAAUGGCUGAAGACUGAAUCAAUCACGUCUGUGUAAUGAAGCCACCACUAAACUGCAAAGGGAUAGGGUUUGGAGAACUUUCAGGACCCGGCUAUUAGAAAAGAGGUUCAAUGUGAAUAUACUGACAAUAACAACAAAAAAAGAGAUUAGAGAAUUAAGAAAGAAAAUUCUAGAGGGCUUAAAGAUCACAUCUGGAAGGAUCUGAAAGGCCUCUUGAAGGAAAUAGAAAAAAAAAUUCUGGCUAAUUCCUCUAAUACUUCUGGACCCUCAUUGGCUAGGAAAUCAUGCUGUGUUCCCAUAUCUAUUUUCUGGUUCCGUGGAAGCUUCUUGAGUACAUGUCUAAUUUGGUUGGGUUCCCCCACUCUCGUACAGCUUCUCAUACAGGAUGCCUUAGAUGUCUUGUUUAUAAUAUUUCAAGCAGCUUCGGGUCCAAUGAGCUAUUGCAACACUAUGGCAUUGACAAUAACUAAAAGUUUUCUCACCUUGGAAUGGCAGAAGGAGAAAAACAAGCUUUUGCAGGUGAAGGAAAACAGGAAGAAUUCAUUGCUAGCAGACCUGCACCGUACUGCAAGAAAAUUAAGAAAGUGCUUCAGGCAGAGGAGUAAGAUCAACUUAUAUUAACAUGAUAAUAUGAUAGACAGAAACUUCAUCUACACAAGCAAUGGAGAGCACUGGAAAUGGCAAAAGUCAAAGGUCUCUACUCAUGACCUUCACCUGGAGCAUGACUGGGAAAAUACAGAAAAAGGGAUGGAGUGCCAUUCUUAAGUAGCUUACCUUGAAGACUUAGUGCCGCUUGCAUAGCUGGCAGCAAUACGAAGUCGCCUAUAUCACUCAAAGGAAUAAUGGACCCUAUUAAAAGCUGCUGCAAACACUGUGAUUGAAUUGCUCUGUUUAUCAGUCUAAGAUGCACAACUGCAUACUUUGGCCCUACUAAAAGUUAGUGUUCCAUUGUUUUUAAAUUCUUAAUGUUCUUGGAUGAAAAACCAAGUGUUGAGGUUUCGGAGAGAUCACUAAUCAAUUCCAACCUUCUUUCUUGUGAAUUAUGAUCAUAUUUAAUACAAGUCAAAUAACUCCACAUACAACAAAGUACACUCAUUCUCAUUAAGUGUUAGUCUUCACUCCAUUUCCUAACAGAGAAACAAUAGACACUAAACAAAGAAACAUGACAUUAAAACAAGAACUGAAAAUUAAGAGGUAAUGCGUGACUAAAUUUCCUG
This 1278-nucleotide long non-coding RNA is filed under the name Equus caballus (horse). RNAcentral's name for it is "lncRNA (ENSECAG00000031380.3)". Lineage: Eukaryota; Metazoa; Chordata; Mammalia; Perissodactyla; Equidae. The record is from RNAcentral.